GACGUAGGGCGCGAGCGUUGUCCGGAUUUAUUGGGCGUAAAGAGCUCGUAGGCGGUUUGUCGCGUCUGCUGUGAAAACCUAAGGCUCAACCUUGGGCUUGCAGUGGGUACGGGCAGACUAGAGUGCGGUAGGGGUGACUGGGAUUCCUGGUGUAGCGGUGGAAUGCGCAGAUAUCAGGAGGAACACCGAUGGCGAAGGCAGGUCACUGGGCCGCAACUGACGCUGAGGAGCGAAAGCAUGGGGAGCGAACAGG
Molecule: ribosomal RNA, 253 nt
Filed under: uncultured bacterium
Lineage: Bacteria
Description: partial 16S ribosomal RNA
Rfam family: Bacterial small subunit ribosomal RNA
Source: RNAcentral